Molecule: ribosomal RNA, 447 nt
Filed under: uncultured bacterium
Lineage: Bacteria
Description: bacterial SSU rRNA
Rfam family: Bacterial small subunit ribosomal RNA
Source: RNAcentral
UGGGGAAUAUUGGACAAUGGGCGAAAGCCUGAUCCAGCCAUGCCGCGUGAGUGACGAAGGCCUUAGGGUUGUAAAACUCUUUCGUCGGGGACGAUAAUGACGGUACCCGAAGAAGAAGCUCCGGCUAACUUCGUGCCAGCAGCCGCGGUAAUACGAAGGGAGCUAGCGUUGUUCGGAAUCACUGGGCGUAAAGCGCACGUAGGCGGAUAGUUAAGUCAGGGGUGAAAUCCUGGGGCUCAACCCCAGAACUGCCUUUGAUACUGGCUGUCUCGAGGUCGAGAGAGGUUGGUGGAAUUCCUAGUGUAGAGGUGAAAUUCGUAGAUAUUAGGAAGAACACCGGUGGCGAAGGCGGCUCACUGGCUCGAUACUGACACUGAGGUGCGAAAGCGUGGGGAGCAAACAGGAUUAGAUACCCCCGUAGUCCCUGAGCGGGCUGGCAAGGCGCAU